CCCAGUGGCUCAGAUGGUAAAGAAUCUGCCUGCAGUGCAGGAGAUCCAGGUUUGAUCCCUGGGCUGGGA
Molecule: transfer RNA, 69 nt
Filed under: Ovis aries (sheep)
Lineage: Eukaryota; Metazoa; Chordata; Mammalia; Artiodactyla; Bovidae
Rfam family: tRNA
About the family: Transfer RNA (tRNA) molecules are approximately 80 nucleotides in length.
Source: Rfam by way of RNAcentral